GAGGGUGUAGCUCAGUGGUAGAGCGCGUGCUUAGCGUGCACGAGGUCCUGGGUUCAGUCCCUAGGACCUCCA
Molecule: transfer RNA, 72 nt
Filed under: Camelus bactrianus (Bactrian camel)
Lineage: Eukaryota; Metazoa; Chordata; Mammalia; Artiodactyla; Camelidae
Also listed under: 2 other names
Rfam family: tRNA
About the family: Transfer RNA (tRNA) molecules are approximately 80 nucleotides in length. Their secondary structure includes four short double-helical elements and three loops (D, anti-codon, and T loops).
Source: Rfam by way of RNAcentral